UGGGGAAUAUUGGACAAUGGGCGAAAGCCUGAUCCAGCAAUGCCGCGUGAGUGAUGAAGGCCUUAGGGUUGUAAAGCUCUUUUACCCGGGAUGAUAAUGACAGUACCGGGAGAAUAAGCCCCGGCUAACUCCGUGCCAGCAGCCGCGGUCAUACGGAGGAUCCAAGCGUUAUCCGGAAUUACUGGGCGUAAAGAGUUGCGUAGGUGGCAUAGUAAGUAGACAGUGAAAGCGUUCGGCUCAACCGAAUAUACAUUAUCUAAACUGCUAAGCUUGAGGAUGAGAGAGGUUAUUGGAAUUCCCUGUGUAGGAGUGAAAUCCGUAGAUAUAGGGAGGAACACCGAUGGCGUAGGCAGAUAACUGGCUCAUUCCUGACACUAAGGCACGAAAGCGUGGGGAGCAAA
RNAcentral lists this ribosomal RNA (401 nucleotides) under uncultured bacterium. RNAcentral describes it as "bacterial SSU rRNA". It matches the Rfam family "Bacterial small subunit ribosomal RNA", at positions 355 to 772 of the family's 1533-position model. The record is from RNAcentral.